GGCGGGCGUCGGGCGGCGGCGCGGGCCCUGGAUUCGGCCACCACCACCGGCCUCGCCGCCGCCCGCUGCGGAGAUGGAGAAGAGGCGGGUUGCGCGGACUCGGGAGCGGCGGGGGCGGCGGGAGUGGACGACGCGACGCCGACGGUGGACGCCUCCUCUUCUCUGAUGCUCCGGCCAUCUCUCCUCUCUCUUCUCGUCGUCCCUGCAACCCUCCUCAGCCAAAGAACCACAAGAGAGCUCAGGUAGCAAGCAGAUAGAACGGGUCAAGGUAGCUUCAGAAUCAAGAAGAAGAAGAAGAGGGAAGGAGAAGGAGGAGCAAGAGCAAGCCAUGGAGGAGCCGGCGACGGUCGGGAGGGCGCGGCCGAGGAGGUAGUAGGCGGCGCAGAGUGCCACGAUGGCAGCCAUGGCGGGAAGCGUGACGAUUUUUUUUUAUCUGUGAUGAUUUUUCUUCCUUUUUUCUUUUUCAUCUUGUUGAGUCCGAUCUGUGAUAAUUGUUGAGUCCGAUCUAUGAUGACUUCAAUUUC
Molecule: long non-coding RNA, 524 nt
Organism: Oryza sativa Japonica Group (Japanese rice)
Lineage: Eukaryota; Viridiplantae; Streptophyta; Magnoliopsida; Poales; Poaceae
Source: RefSeq, a predicted model, not a curated record